Molecule: ribosomal RNA, 492 nt
Filed under: uncultured bacterium
Lineage: Bacteria
Description: partial 16S ribosomal RNA
Rfam family: Bacterial small subunit ribosomal RNA
Source: RNAcentral
AGUGAACGCUGGCGGUAGGCCUAACACAUGCAAGUCGAACGGCAGCACAGUAAGAGCUUGCUCUUACGGGUGGCGAGUGGCGGACGGGUGAGGAAUACAUCGGAAUCUACUUUUUCGUGGGGGAUAACGUAGGGAAACUUACGCUAAUACCGCAUACGACCUACGGGUGAAAGCAGGGGAUCUUCGGACCUUGCGCGAUUGAAUGAGCCGAUGUCGGAUUAGCUAGUUGGCGGGGUAAAGGCCCACCAAGGCGACGAUCCGUAGCUGGUCUGAGAGGAUGAUCAGCCACACUGGAACUGAGACACGGUCCAGACUCCUACGGGAGGCAGCAGUGGGGAAUACUAGACAAUGGGCGCAAGCCUGAUCCAGCCAUACCGCGUGGGUGAAGAAGGCCUUCGGGUUGUAAAGCCCUUUUGUUGGGAAAGAAAAGCAGCAGGUUAAUACCCCGCUGUUCUGACGGUACCCAAAGAAUAAGCACCGGCUAACUUCGUG